Zeugodacus cucurbitae (melon fly) is the source of this 1336-nucleotide long non-coding RNA. RefSeq lists it as uncharacterized. NCBI's taxonomy places the organism in Eukaryota, Metazoa, Arthropoda, Insecta, Diptera, Tephritidae. The transcript is spliced from 3 exons. The record is from RefSeq and is a predicted model, not a curated record.
UUUGGUGACAUUUUGGUAUUCUGGUGAGUUUGUCUCAUCACUAAUUUUUUUAUUUGCUUUAAGUGUUAGGUGGGUGUCAGAGGCUAAAAACAUGGGUAUUUUCACAUUUUUUUUAAUAUGUACAAUAAAUUAUUUCAUUUAAACAAUGCAGCGUAUCAAAGAUACAUGCGCAAUCUGGCUAUUUGUGCAACAAGGAAGACCCCUUUUUAUAUGAGGAAACUACGUUAAGGAACUUUUUUCGAUUUCCAAAAUCAUAGUACUGUGAACUCAUCCAACAAGUGAAGCCGUAUGACCAACACCAAACCUUGAUUCCGUUUGAACUUCGGUUUAUUUCAGUUAUAUAUUUUUUAACCAAUGGCUCAUACCAGUGUUGCGUGCGUAAUGGAUAUUUCUAGCAAUGCAGUGUAAACACGCCGAAGUGCAGUUUACUAAUUCUCUUGAAUAAUACUAUAGAGUUAAGACUGUGUCAGUUGUCGUCCAAUUUGAAAUAAUAAAAUCGACAACAAUUGUAUUCCAGAUUUUCGAAGUUUGGAGUAAAGGGCAAGAAAGUGAUUGCACUCAUGUUAGCAUAAUUGCACCUGCCUUAUCAACAACAGUUGUGCCGUAUGAUUACAUGAAUAGAAAAGGGUUUGUGAUGAUGAACUAAUUUUUUGGCACGUGAAUGCAAAAUGCCAUGACUCCGGUAUAUGGCCAUUGUAGCCAUGGCUUCUUGCACAGGUGAUAAAUCCUGGAAGACCAAAUGAACAAAAUUUCAAUACUAAGCACAUAAGAGAAAGAAACACGAUUGAAAGAAUAUUUGGAUCACACUUUCGUUGCAUUUCAAAAGUUCGUACAUUGCGGUACAAACAUCCAAAAGCUGCAUUAUUUGUUUAUACAUGUACAAUACAGUAGUUUUCUGAAACAACGAGUAUUCGUUUUGAUGAAAAUCGCUUAUAACGAACAAGCAAAUUGUUAACAUUGAGUACCUUAAAAAACGAUAUCAGAUAUUUGCAAAUAUUCAGUUUAACGAACAACAUGAAAAAGAGGUGUGAAGGAAGAGUUAAAAAUAAAACAAAAUCAUCGUAGAAAAAUAGUAUUCAAAAAAUAACUUUAAAAAAUGCAUAAUAAAUUUGCAAAUUGAAAAAAUUAAUACAUGAAAAAUAUUGAAUUUGAUAGAAAAACCUAAAACUGUUGAUCGGCACCAAAUAGAAGUAUAUAUAAGUUUCGGAGUUAUGUAAAAUAUUUAUUUAAAAGUAUCCACAUUUAACAUUUAAUAAAAUAUGGCAAAGAAGAACAUUAUCAAUUUUGUAAAACUUAUUCUAUUCAUUGAACUUCAGGGAGGAGCAAUCAAAUAUAA